AUCAGUUAAGUGAUUCAGAGGAUAAUGAUGAUGAUAUAUUUGAUGAGUAUGUAGACAAAGAUGUUAUUGUUAAGGAAUUGAGAUCGUGGAUAUAGCACUUUGAUCUAUUUGAAGGUGUAGAUUUUUUUAGAAACGAGCAACCUACUAGGGUAGAAGUAGAGAUGAUGGGAUCUCUGGCCCAUACUAUUUCGAAUUUAAUGAUCCUACAGAUAUGAAAUAGACCAUCAAACUUUCUGUUGGAAUGAAGUUUAGCAAUGCCGC
This 261-nucleotide long non-coding RNA is filed under the name Elaeis guineensis (African oil palm). RNAcentral's name for it is "long non-coding RNA (EGUI_LNC015617)". The record is from RNAcentral. Lineage: Eukaryota; Viridiplantae; Streptophyta; Magnoliopsida; Arecales; Arecaceae.